RNAcentral lists this transfer RNA (71 nucleotides) under Phrynosoma platyrhinos (Desert horned lizard). RNAcentral's name for it is "tRNA-OTHER". The record is from RNAcentral. Lineage: Eukaryota; Metazoa; Chordata; Lepidosauria; Squamata; Phrynosomatidae.
GGCCAGCAUGGUAUAGUGGUUUGAGUGUUGGACUACAGUUCUGGAGACCAGGGUUCAAUUCCCCAUGGCCA